Molecule: ribosomal RNA, 253 nt
Filed under: uncultured bacterium
Lineage: Bacteria
Description: partial 16S ribosomal RNA
Rfam family: Bacterial small subunit ribosomal RNA
Source: RNAcentral
GACAGAGGGUGCAAACGUUGCUCGGAAUUACUGGGCGUAAAGCGCGUGUAGGCUGACCGGAAAGUCGGGCGUGAAAGCCCUGGGCUCAACCCAGGAACUGCACUCGAAACUCCCGGUCUAGAGUGGUGGAGAGGGAAGUGGAAUUCCUGGUGUAGAGGUGAAAUUCGUAGAUAUCAGGAGGAACACCAGUGGCGAAGGCGGCUUCCUGGACACCAACUGACGCUGAGACGCGAAAGCGUGGGGAGCAAACAGG